UCCUGGCUUAGGAUGAACGCUAGCUACAGGCUUAACACAUGCAAGUCGAGGGGCAUCAGGUACUGUGCUUGCACAGUAUGCUGGCGACCGGCGCACGGGUGAGUAACGCGUAUCCAACUUCCCAUGACUCCGGUUCAGCCCGCCGAAAGGCGGAUUACUCCCGGAUGGUUUCCGAAGAGGGCCUCUGAUUUGGAAUAAAGAUUUAUCGGUCAUGGAUGGGGAUGCGUCUGAUUAGGCAGCAGGCGGGUAACGGCCCACCUGGCCUACGAUCAGUAGGGGUUCUGAGAGGAAGGUCCCCCACACUGGAACUGAGACACGGUCCAGACUCCUACGGGAGGUAGCAGUGAGGAAUAUUGGUCAAUGGACGAGAGUCUGAACCAGCCAAGUAGCGUGCAGGAAUGACGGCCCUAUGGGUUGUAAACUGCUUUUAUAUGAGGAUAAAGGACAUUACGUGUGAUGUUUUGCAGGUAUCAUAUGAAUAAGGACCGGCUAAUUCCGUGCCAGCCGCCGC
This 511-nucleotide ribosomal RNA is filed under the name uncultured bacterium. RNAcentral's name for it is "bacterial SSU rRNA". It matches the Rfam family "Bacterial small subunit ribosomal RNA", at positions 17 to 518 of the family's 1533-position model. The record is from RNAcentral.